Long non-coding RNA from Carya illinoinensis, 445 nucleotides. RefSeq lists it as uncharacterized. Lineage: Eukaryota; Viridiplantae; Streptophyta; Magnoliopsida; Fagales; Juglandaceae. The transcript has 2 exons. The record is from RefSeq and is a predicted model, not a curated record.
AAAAAAACAGAAGAAAAAAUCAAGACCAGCUGAUGAAGGGAAGGAAGGGGUAAUUUUUCUCGGAAAACACGAAAUGAAACCCAACGAGAGAUUGAGAUAGCACCGAUGGUCGUCAUCGUGGGAAAGAAGUUUGCAAAGAAAGCGCACCCCGUCAGGCCUCAAGUUCCCUCAACCCUUCCUUUCAUCCGGUUCCGCAAGUUCCAUUCAGGGUCUCUUCAAAAUCUUGAGUAGAUUCUGUUUCUUAAACACCCUUCUCCAUAUGGUUCUGGAUUUCUUUUCAUUUACCGAAAUAACUUUUUUUUUAAAUGUAUGAGAUUGAUAAUUAGACCAUUUUUUUGUACUGGCUCGUAAUUUGUUAUGUCUGAAGCUGGUAUUUCUAGGAUUGUGAAGCCUUCUAUGAACUGGAUAUUUGAUAAAUUGACGUUAAGAGUUUAUUAGUUUCUUA